AACGAACGCUGGUGGCAUGCCUAACACAUGCAAGUCGAACGAGAAGCUGACUUCGGUCAGUGGAAAGUGGCGCACGGGUGAGUACAAGAUAGGUAUCUACCUCGCACCGGGGGACAACAGUUAGAAUGACUGCUAAUACCGCAUACGCCAUAUUGGGAAAACUACGGUGGUGUGAGAUGAGCCUAUCCCAGAUUAGCUAGUUGGUAGGUAAAAGCCUACCAAGGCAACGAUCUGUAGCGGGUCUGAGAGGAUGAUCCGCCACACUGGAACUGAGACACGGUCCAGACUCCUACGGGAGGCAGCAGUGGGGAAUAUUGCACAAUGGGCGCAAGCCUGAUGCAGCAAUGCC
RNAcentral lists this ribosomal RNA (349 nucleotides) under uncultured Pseudomonadota bacterium. RNAcentral's name for it is "bacterial SSU rRNA". It matches the Rfam family "Bacterial small subunit ribosomal RNA", at positions 29 to 398 of the family's 1533-position model. The record is from RNAcentral. Lineage: Bacteria; Pseudomonadati; Pseudomonadota.